AAAUAGAACUUUGCAGAGAGAGUUAACAGGGCGUGAAACCGUUAAUUGGCAAACGAAUCGGAGCCACGAAGUCGUUUCGUUGUUGAGUUGAGCUAAGUUCAGCGAGCAUCCGCAAGGGUGAACGUGUACUCUUAAGUUUAACCAACCUUGUAAGCGUACACUGCAACUAGUUAGACGAUUGGUUAUGGGCACAGUGGGCGCUAGUAGUGGCGUUGUAAUGCCUCGGUGUUAUAAUGUUGCUAAGCGUGUUGCAAGUGAACUAUGACCAAAUACUGACUAGCGAAAUGAAAAUCGUCCACAUGGACGUUAGAGACAAAGCAGCUAGUUGGACGAGCGUCUACGCGACCAACUGUUGGGUUUAAGCUCGGCGCUUUCGAAUUUAGACUUGCUUGCUACCAGUGGGGCAACUCCUGGUGCUUGUACAGCUUCUAUCUAAUCAAGCGUUGACUUGAUUCAGCAUUGUUUGAGCGCGACUCGAUUGGGCGUUCGUUCAAUCUAGUUUGUAAUUUGAAUUGGCAGUGAGUAGGUCGGCUUUCCGAACGACCCGUCUUGAAACACGGACCAAGGAGUCUAAUUAGGCAUCGAGUCGAUCGGUCUUGAAUAGGCCAGACAAGGGAGUUCCUCUAGAGAAGGCGUAGAGACGUGUGAUCGUUGGGGCAACAACAGCCUCUUCGCGCAACACGUGCCUGUUCGAUCGUUGUGUAGCAAUAACAACUGGGCGGAGCAAAGAGAUGCCUGAUUGGGACCCGAAAGAUGGUGAUGCUUGGGCAAAUUGAAGCCAGAGGAAACUCUGGUGGAGGAUUUAGCUGACGUGCAAAUCGAUCGUCAGACCUGAGUAUAGGGGCGAAAGACUAAUCGAACCAUC
This 865-nucleotide ribosomal RNA is filed under the name Tetra lobulifera. RNAcentral's name for it is "partial large subunit ribosomal RNA". It matches the Rfam family "Eukaryotic large subunit ribosomal RNA", at positions 366 to 944 of the family's 3401-position model. The record is from RNAcentral. Lineage: Eukaryota; Metazoa; Arthropoda; Arachnida; Trombidiformes; Eriophyidae.